AUGCUCUAUUGAGUAAAGAUUUAUCGCCUUAUGAUGAGCCUGCGUUAGAUUAGUUAGUUGGUAGGGUAACGGCCUGCCAAGGCGACGAUCUAUAGCCGGGUUGAGAGACUGGCCGGCCACAUUGGGACUGAGACACGGCCCAGACUCCUACGGGAGGCAGCAGCUAAGAAUCUUCCGCAAUGGACGCAAGUCUGACGGAGCGACGCCGCGUGAACGAUGAAGGCCUUACAGGUUGUAAAGUUCUUUUAUAGAAGACGAAUGUUAUGCGUAGGCAUAACUGACGGUAUUCUAUGAAUAAGGUCCGGCUAACUACGUGCCAGCAGCCGCGGUAAUACGUAGGGACCGAGCGUUGUUCGGAAUUAUUGGGCGUAAAGGGUACGUAGGCGGUCUAAUAAGUCAGAUGUGAAACCCUCGGGCUCAUCCUGAGGCCUGCGUCUGAUACUGUUAGGCUAGAGUUACGGAGAGGAAGUCGGAAUUCCUGGUGUAGGGGUGAAAUCUAUAGAUAUCAGGAAGAACAUCGGUUGCGAAGGCUGACUUCUGGACGUUAACUGACGCUGAGGUACGAAAGUUAGGGUAGCAAACAGGAUUAGAGACCCUGGUAGUCCUAACUGUAAACGUUGUAUACUAGGUGGUGGCGUUUUGAUCGCGUCACUGCCGGAGCUAACGCAUUAAGUAUACCGCCUGGGGAGUAUGCCGGCAACGGUGAAACUCAAAGGAAUUGACGGGGGCCCGCACAAGCAGUGGAGCAUGUUGUUUAAUUCGAUGAUACGCGAGGAACCUUACCAGGUCUUGACAUAUACCUGAAUGUUGUAGAGAUACAUCAGUCUUUCGGGACAGGUAUACAGGUGCUGCAUGGUUGUCGUCAGCUCGUGCCGUGAGGUGUUGGGUUAAGUCCCGCAACGAGCGCAACCCUUAUUCUUUGUUGCUAACGUGUUAUGGCGAGCACUCUAAGGAGACUGCCGGUGACAAACCGGAGGAAGGUGGGGAUGACGUCAAAUCAUCACGGCCCUUAUGACCUGGGCUACAAACGUGCUAC
RNAcentral lists this ribosomal RNA (1036 nucleotides) under uncultured organism. RNAcentral's name for it is "bacterial SSU rRNA". It matches the Rfam family "Bacterial small subunit ribosomal RNA", at positions 175 to 1228 of the family's 1533-position model. The record is from RNAcentral.